RNAcentral lists this ribosomal RNA (1508 nucleotides) under uncultured rumen bacterium 3C0d-8. Its description in RNAcentral is "bacterial SSU rRNA". It matches the Rfam family "Bacterial small subunit ribosomal RNA". The record is from RNAcentral.
AGAGUUUGAUCCUGGCUCAGGACGAACGCUGGCGGCGUGCCUAACACAUGCAAGUCGAACGGACGAGGAGAGCUUGCUCUCCGAGUUAGUGGCGAACGGGUGAGUAACGCGUGAGCAACCUGCCUUUCAGAGGGGGACAACGGUUGGAAACGACCGCUAAUACCGCAUGAAGCAUUUUGAGGGCAUCCUCGAAAUGCCAAAGAUUCUAUCGCUGAAAGAUGGGCUCGCGUCUGAUUAGAUAGUUGGUGGGGUAACGGCCUACCAAGUCGACGAUCAGUAGCCGGACUGAGAGGUUGAACGGCCACAUUGGGACUGAGAUACGGCCCAGACUCCUACGGGAGGCAGCAGUGGGGAAUAUUGGGCAAUGGGGGAAACCCUGACCCAGCAACGCCGCGUGAAGGAAGAAGGCUUUCGGGUUGUAAACUUCUUUUACCAGGGACGAAGGACGUGACGGUACCUGGAGAAAAAGCCACGGCUAACUACGUGCCAGCAGCCGCGGUAAUACGUAGGUGGCAAGCGUUGUCCGGAAUUACUGGGUGUAAAGGGCGUGUAGGCGGAGCGGCAAGUCAGAAGUGAAAUCUCCGGGCUUAACCCGGAAACUGCUUUUGAAACUGUCGCCCUUGAGUAUCGGAGAGGCAGGCGGAAUUCCUAGUGUAGCGGUGAAAUGCGUAGAUAUUAGGAGGAACACCAGUGGCGAAGGCGGCCUGCUGGACGACAACUGACGCUGAGGCGCGAAAGCGUGGGGAGCAAACAGGAUUAGAUACCCUGGUAGUCCACGCCGUAAACGAUGGAUACUAGGUGUGGGGGGACUGACCCCCUCCGUGCCGCAGUUAACACAAUAAGUAUCCCACCUGGGGAGUACGAUCGCAAGAUUGAAACUCAAAGGAAUUGACGGGGGCCCGCACAAGCAGUGGAUUAUGUGGUUUAAUUCGACGCAACGCGAAGAACCUUACCGGGAUUUGACAUCCUACUAACGAGGCAGAGAUGCGUUAGGUGCCUUCGGGGAAAGUAGAGACAGGUGGUGCAUGGUUGUCGUCAGCUCGUGUCGUGAGAUGUUGGGUUAAGUCCCGCAACGAGCGCAACCCUUAUUGUUAGUUNUACGCAAGAGCACUCUAGCGAGACUGCCGUUGACAAAACGGAGGAAGGCGGGGACGACGUCAAAUCAUCAUGCCCCUUAUGUCCCGGGCUACACACGUAAUACAAUGGCGGUCAACAAAGGGAAGCAAAGCCGCGAGGCAGAGCAAAGCCCAAAAAGCCGUCUCAGUUCGGAUCGCAGUCUGCAACUCGACUGCGUGAAGUUGGAAUUGCUAGUAAUCGCGGAUCAGCAUGCCGCGGUGAAUACGUUCCCGGGCCUUGUACACACCGCCCGUCACACCAUGAGAGUCGGGAACACCCGAAGUCCGUAGUCUAACCGCAAGGGGGGCGCGGCCGAAGGUGGGUCUGAUAAUUGGGGUGAAGUCGUAACAAGGUAGCCGUAUCGGAAGGUGCGGCUGGAUCACCUCCUUUCU